AUAUUAAAAGGUAAAUGUUCACUAGUUCCUGCACUUCAUUCUGUUCAGUCAUUGUCAAAAAUCCAUCUUCCUGGAGAUGUGCUGACCCCUGCGAUUUCCCCAAAUGUGGGAAACUUGAUUGCACAAUUUGUGGUAAAGGGGGACUGCAUUCACACUGUCCCCUG
RNAcentral lists this small nuclear RNA (164 nucleotides) under Tupaia belangeri (northern tree shrew). Its description in RNAcentral is "U1 spliceosomal RNA (ENSTBEG00000021077.1)". It matches the Rfam family "U1 spliceosomal RNA". Rfam says of the family: U1 is a small nuclear RNA (snRNA) component of the spliceosome (involved in pre-mRNA splicing). Its 5' end forms complementary base pairs with the 5' splice junction, thus defining the 5' donor site of an intron. There are significant differences in sequence and secondary structure between metazoan and yeast U1 snRNAs, the latter being much longer (568 nucleotides as compared to 164 nucleotides in human). Lineage: Eukaryota; Metazoa; Chordata; Mammalia; Scandentia; Tupaiidae. The record is from RNAcentral.